GAUGAACGCUGGCGGCGUGCCUAAUACAUGCAAGUCGAGCGAACAGACGAGGAGCUUGCUCCUCUGACGUUAGCGGCGGACGGGUGAGUAACACGUGGAUAACCUACCUAUAAGACUGGGAUAACUUCGGGAAACCGGAGCUAAUACCGGAUAAUAUAUUGAACCGCAUGGUUCAAUAGUGAAAGACGGUUUUGCUGUCACUUAUAGAUGGAUCCGCGCCGCAUUAGCUAGUUGGUAAGGUAACGGCUUACCAAGGCAACGAUGCGUAGCCGACCUGAGAGGGUGAUCGGCCACACUGGAACUGAGACACGGUCCAGACUCCUACGGGAGGCAGCAGUAGGGAAUCUUCCGCAAUGGGCGAAAGCUUGACGGAGCAACGCCGCGUGAGUGAUGAAGGUCUUCGGAUCGUAAAACUCUGUUAUGAGGUAAGAACAAAUGUGUAAGUAACUAUGCACGUCUUGACGGUACCUAAUCAGAAAGCCACGGCGAACUACGU
Molecule: ribosomal RNA, 496 nt
Filed under: uncultured bacterium
Lineage: Bacteria
Description: partial 16S ribosomal RNA
Rfam family: Bacterial small subunit ribosomal RNA
Source: RNAcentral